GAGAAGAACGUAGCGAAAUGCGAUAAGUAAUGUGAAUUGCAGAAUUCAGUGAAUCAUCGAAUCUUUGAACGCACAUUGCGCCCUUUGGCAUUCCGAAGGGCACACCUGUCCGAGCGCCGUCGCACAACUGAGGCGCAGCCUUGCGUUGGCGGGCGACUUGUGAGUAGCGAGUCGCCGCCCAAACGAGACGGCGCCGCGCCGCGGCCGACGAAGCACGAAAGCGGAAGUCGACGCGGAGGCGGUUGCCUGUAGGAAGACACAGCUUGGCCUCGGAUCAGGUGGGGAUACCCGCUGAACUUAAGCAUAUCAAUAAGCGGAGGA
Molecule: unclassified non-coding RNA, 321 nt
Filed under: soil metagenome
Description: partial contains 5.8S ribosomal RNA, internal transcribed spacer 2, and large subunit ribosomal RNA
Rfam family: 5.8S ribosomal RNA (bases 3-119)
Source: RNAcentral